UGCAUAUCAAGUACCUCACUUUCUUGAGGUAAUACAAUGAUACCAUUUGUAGUUUGGCUAGCAAAGUUUAGUAUAUGCAGUAUAUGAGGUGGAAGGUUGGUGUUUUGGUAGUGUAAUCUUCUGUUUGAUACUAUAUGAGAUUCAUUUUUUAUGUCUUGUUUGUGUAUAAUAUCUAUAGAAGCAGUAGAGAUGGAGCAUGAGUUUGUUGAGUUACCAAAGCAUAUUAUUUUUGAAUCUUGUUUUUGGAAGUGAGUGAUGAUGCGUAUGAAUAACAUGUGAUUGGCUUGCGCUCAGAUUUUGAAGAUCGACGAGGUUGGUGAGCUGUUUGAAGAAGCAAGAGGAACUCUGAACAAAAAUGUGGUUUGUAUGAUCAAAGAAUUAAAUAUUUAUAACUCUUUAUAAAAAUUGCAGAGUUGGCUUCUUUAUACAUCCUUCUCUUUCAUCUUCUUCAGACAUUUCUUAUACUAAACCAAUUGUAUAUCCUCUUACGAGUUGCAUAGUUGAAGAGAUUAGUUCGACAUGUAAAUGAGUGUGGUUCCAAUCGUUUUUUUUAUAGAAGAAUGAGAUAUGGAGAAGCCUUGAUAUUCUCAGAUCAUGUUAGUAACAACUAACAAAAACUGAGUUUUGCAAGUACAAACUCUAUUGGAGCUAGAUUCAAAUGAUUUACAAAGCUUUAUAAAUUAGUUUAUAAAUAUUUAUAAUUAAC
This 706-nucleotide long non-coding RNA is filed under the name Brassica napus (rape). Its description in RNAcentral is "long non-coding RNA (BNAP_LNC003112)". Lineage: Eukaryota; Viridiplantae; Streptophyta; Magnoliopsida; Brassicales; Brassicaceae. The record is from RNAcentral.